RNAcentral lists this ribosomal RNA (253 nucleotides) under uncultured bacterium. RNAcentral describes it as "partial 16S ribosomal RNA". It matches the Rfam family "Bacterial small subunit ribosomal RNA", at positions 524 to 776 of the family's 1533-position model. The record is from RNAcentral.
UACGUAGGGUGCGAGCGUUGUUCGGAAUUACUGGGCGUAAAGCGCACGUAGGCGGACAUUUAAGUCAGGGGUGAAAUCCCGGGGCUCAACCCCGGAACUGCCUUUGAUACUGGGUAUCUCGAGUAUGGAAGAGGUAAGUGGAAUUCCGAGUGUAGAGGUGAAAUCCGUAGAUAUUCGGAGGAACACCAGUGGCGAAGGCGGCUUACUGGUCCAUUACUGACGCUGAGGUGCGAAAGCGUGGGGAGCAAACAGG